This is a long non-coding RNA of Carassius auratus (goldfish), 2289 nucleotides long. RefSeq lists it as uncharacterized. The record is from RefSeq and is a predicted model, not a curated record. The transcript is spliced from 3 exons. NCBI's taxonomy places the organism in Eukaryota, Metazoa, Chordata, Actinopteri, Cypriniformes, Cyprinidae.
CAAACAAAAAAAACCUUGCAGCAAAAGAAAAAAGGCGAUUAAUCAGUUAAAAUUUGCUACUCUGGGUAAAAAAAAAAUUAUAUACCAGGGUUCCUGCGGGUCCUUAAAAAGUCUUAAAAUGACUGCAUUUAGGAAGUGGUUGGCGCCGGCUGAAAAUAACAAUGAGGAAAUGUGUAAAUUCAGCAAAAAGAUCUUUUCGUUAGGGACCAUGGGGCUCAAAGCUGUCGGGUCGUAUAUAGAGUCCAAGUUAAUCACUGCAUUGUUUGCAGCUCGACCUAAUCGACCUAAAAGGUAUAGGUACUGUGGGUUCUCCAUACUGUGAAGAGGCACAAUUCAUUUAAAUCUAACGAGGACAUACGUAACAUCUUUGCUGCCAUGUUCCCCUAUUCGCAGCUUGCAAAGUCAUUCACCUGUGGUGAAAAUAAAACCAUAUGUCGCCAAAUAUGGCAUCGCUUCGUUCAUCAAGAAGGAUCGUGUAGCAUUAGUGAGAAGCCAUGUCAUCAUGUUUGACGAAAGUUUGAAUAAAUCGACAAAGAACAAACAAAUGGACCUUCAUUUGCGAUUCUGGACUACUGAUGAAGAGACUGGCACACACUACAUCAUCUCCCGCUACUAUGGGUCGGUGUUCAUGAGUCACUCCAGAGCCGAGGACAUGUUGGGAAGGUACAUAGGAGCUUAAUAAACAACAUUCUCUCACUAUCAAUGGAUGGGCCCGCUGUAAACUGGAAGUUUGUUGAACUCUUACAAGAGGGACACAGAGAGCAAUGUGGUGGAGCCCAACUACAAAUAAUUGGGAGUUGUGGCCUUCACACGAUGCACAACUCUUUAAAGAACGGCUUCGCAGUGUGGCAAGUUGAGAGAGUCCUGAAAGCCCUGCACUACCUGUUUCAUUGUGCACCUGCAAGGAGAGAGGACUUUGCGUUAGUGACAAAGUGUGAUACAUUUCCUCUGCCAUUUUGCGGACAUCGAUGGCUGGAAAACCUUCCAGCAGUGGAGCGAGCAAUUGAAAUUUGGUCAUAUAUCCUCACUUAUGAGGACCAAAGCCAAGAAGCUCCCCAAUACAAGGUCAUCGUCAUUUGACACCAUCGCAGAAGCCCGGAUGGAUCACUUCAUCUUGGCAAAGUUACACUUCUCGAGAAGUUUUCAGCCAUUUCUCACCAAAUGACUACUAAAAGUAUAUUAAUGGUUUAAUCAUUCAAGCACCAUCAUUUACAGAGGAUAUGAACAUUAAAACAAAGUACUGAGUUUUCAGCAUGAUGAUGUUUGUAGAAAGUAUUGUAAAUACUGUAAUACUUUUUCCAAUUUUGAUUAUAAUUAUUAUGCUUGUGCUAUUCUAUUUUCAGAGCCUUCUCAGAUGCUUCAUAAAGCGAGACGUCCAGGUUGAUGUUUCCCCAGUAAAACUGGUCAAGCUUGAUGUGAUAGACCAAAAGCUUUGGGUCAGUCCAAAGCAAGUGGACAUUGGCAUGGGAGCCACAGCUGACCUCAAGGUGAUAAGAUUGCCCAACAAUUUCAGAAGUUCCUCUUCAGUGAGGCCAGAGGAGAGGAAUUCAUGGCCUUCAGUGCAUUGGAAAACAGUGCAAAACUAUCAUUUUGCAUUAUUGAGACACUGUUUUCCAAAUGAAUGUUGUUCAGUGCUUUGGCGCAAUGUAUUUUGUUUAAAGCACUAUAUAAAUAAAGGUGAUUGAUUGAUUGAUUGAUUGAUGGAAAAUCGCGAGUUGACAGCUUCCUGCAUAAGGGCAUGAAUGGACAUACAGAACUGUGGAGCUUUGUGGAAAAGCUGCUGCUUCUGUCCCAUGGACAAGCUACUUUGGAGCGUGGGUUCUCCAUAAACAAGGAGGUGGAGAUGUGCAAUUUGAACGACGACGUUAUAGUCUCAUAGAGACUAAUCUGCGACUAUGUGAGGAUGUGUGGUGGAGUGGUCAAAGUGCCUCUAACUAAAGAGCUGCUAAAUGUGAGUGCAUCUGCACGCAACCAGUACAGGAUAUUCUUGGAAGAUGAGAGGAAGCAAAAGGAAAAGACAAAACAGAUGAAAAAGAGAAAAAAGGUUGAAGAUGAUAUUGAAGAGUUACGCAAGAAAAGAAGAACAAUCUCACCUGUGUGUGAAACUCUAGAAAAAAAUGCAGAUGGCCUUGCAGAAAAGGCUGAGAAUACAGCAGGGACCAAGAUGGCAGUACUUAUCACUAAAUCUAAUUCAUAAAUCAUUGUGUUGUUUAGUGUAAUCCAAUUUAUCUAUGUUACAUUGUCUCUGUUCUACAUCACAAAGGAACAAAAAAAGAAAAUAAAAAUGUC